AUUGAACGCUGGCGGCAUGCUUUACACAUGCAAGUCGAACGGCAGCACGGGGGCAACCCUGGUGGCGAGUGGCGAACGGGUGAGUAACACAUCGGAACGUGUCCAGUUGUGGGGGAUAACCCAUCGAAAGGUGGGCUAAUACCGCAUGAUCUGGCAACAGCAAAGCGGGGGACUGGUAACGGCCUCGCGCGAUUGGAGCGGCCGAUGUCCGAUUAGCUAGUUGGUGGGGAAAGGCCUACCAAGGCUUCGAUCCGGUAGCUGGUCUGAGAGGAUGAUCAGCCACACUGGGACUGAGACACGGCCCAGACUCCUACGGGAGGCAGCAGUGGGAAUUUGGACAAUGGGGGCAACCCUGAUCCAGCCAUGCCGCGUGAGUGAAGAA
Molecule: ribosomal RNA, 382 nt
Filed under: uncultured bacterium
Lineage: Bacteria
Description: bacterial SSU rRNA
Rfam family: Bacterial small subunit ribosomal RNA
Source: RNAcentral